UAAAAGAUGCUUAAGUGCUGUAAGAGCAAUA
Molecule: non-coding RNA, 31 nt
Filed under: Rattus norvegicus (Norway rat)
Lineage: Eukaryota; Metazoa; Chordata; Mammalia; Rodentia; Muridae
Source: RNAcentral